RNAcentral lists this unclassified non-coding RNA (650 nucleotides) under Hevea brasiliensis (rubber tree). The record is from RNAcentral. Lineage: Eukaryota; Viridiplantae; Streptophyta; Magnoliopsida; Malpighiales; Euphorbiaceae.
AAGACAUAGGGUCUAAAGCUAUGCUGGCUAUUUAGAAAAACUAAAAAAACUUACAGAAUCAUCCAAAAUAUUGCUGAGUCUGAUUUUAAAAAAGGAAUCAAGAACUCAAGAAACCAUUGAUGCAAGAACUUUAUUAAAGAGGAUUCCAUCUCUGGAAUGCAGAAGCAAGCAGCACUAGUUCCUUCAAGUUGGCAGAUGUAUCUUCUCUAGACUCAAGAAAGCGGCUUUGCACGAGUAGCUGGAUCUUCCUUGGAUUCAAUUUGUAUCAUAAAUGCAUAUCCCAAUACCCAUAAGAAAAUAUACAAGAAAGGAACCCAAGAGAGGCAAGCUAGCAAACUCAAAAUGCUGCCGACAUACUGAGGAUCUCUUAUUACUCCAAAAGGAAACUCUGUUACCCAAGGGAUAUUCUUCCCAAAUCGUACACCAUAGUAAGUGCCAUCUUCUCCCAAAAGUUGGUAAACCCUAAAAUUAAGGAACUGGCCAAAGAUGAAAAGGGGCCAAAAAUAAAGAGGAGGCGGCCAUGAAAAUGUGGAAACCGACAAGAGUGAUAUGAUUUGGAUCAACUUUAUAAAAUGAGAAACGAUAGCCAUAACUUUGCAAGGGUCACGUCCACUUCCACAGAGAUGAACCCAUUUUUGAGGAUGUGUCCA